This 253-nucleotide ribosomal RNA is filed under the name uncultured bacterium. Its description in RNAcentral is "partial 16S ribosomal RNA". It matches the Rfam family "Bacterial small subunit ribosomal RNA", at positions 524 to 776 of the family's 1533-position model. The record is from RNAcentral.
UACAGAGGUGGCAAGCGUUGUUCGGAAUUACUGGGCGUAAAGGGCGCGUAGGCGGCCUUCUAAGUCAGACGUGAAAUCCCCCGGCUUAACCUGGGAACUGCGUCUGAUACUGGAGGGCUUGAGUGCGGGAGAGGGAUGUGGAAUUCCAGGUGUAGCGGUGAAAUGCGUAGAUAUCUGGAGGAAUACCAGUGGCGAAGGCGGCCUUCUGGACGGAUACUGACGCUGAGGCGCGAAAGCCAGGGGAGCAAACGGG